RNAcentral lists this ribosomal RNA (525 nucleotides) under Clupisoma longianale. RNAcentral's name for it is "partial small subunit ribosomal RNA". It matches the Rfam family "Bacterial large subunit ribosomal RNA", at positions 1921 to 2610 of the family's 2925-position model. The record is from RNAcentral. Lineage: Eukaryota; Metazoa; Chordata; Actinopteri; Siluriformes; Ailiidae.
AGUUAAACUGCCGCGGUAUUUUGACCGUGCGAAGGUAGCGCAAUCACUUGUCUUUUAAAUGAAGACCUGUAUGAAUGGUGGAACGAGGGCUUAACUGUCUCCCCUUUCAAGUCAAUGAAAUUGAUCUGCCCGUGCAGAAGCGGACAUAAAAAUACAAGACGAGAAGACCCUUUGGAGCUUAAGAUAUAAAAUCAACUAUGUCAAGAACCAUAAAGUCAAACUAAAUAGCACAUGAUUCUAAUCUUCGGUUGGGGCGACCACGGGAGAAAACCAAGCUCCCAUGAGGACUGGGGUAAACCCCUAAAACUAAGAAAGACAUUUCUAAGCCACAGAACAUCUGACCAUAGAGAUCCGGGCACACCGAUCAACGAACCAAGUUACCCUAGGGAUAACAGCGCAAUCCCCUUCCAGAGUCCAUAUCGACAAGGGGGUUUACGACCUCGAUGUUGGAUCAGGACAUCCUAAUGGUGCAGCCGCUAUUAAGGGUUCGUUUGUUCAACGAUUAAAGUCCUACGUGAUCUGAGU